Melozone crissalis (California towhee) is the source of this 597-nucleotide long non-coding RNA. RefSeq lists it as uncharacterized. The record is from RefSeq and is a predicted model, not a curated record. The transcript has 3 exons. Lineage: Eukaryota; Metazoa; Chordata; Aves; Passeriformes; Passerellidae.
GGAGGACUCAGGAAUCCCACCCAAAACUGGAGUUAUUCCCCUCAACAGCCUCUCUGAAAUUGCCAUCAGCAGAAGCUGCAUUGUUUGAAAAGGUAAUUGAAUUUGCUGGAAAGGGCUCAGAAGGAGCUGCUGCCUCCCCAGUUCCCUUCUGCAGUGAGAGUUACCCGAGCUGAGGCUGCUUUGGCCUGCAUUAAUAUUUACAGGCCUGGUUUAUGGAUCUGAAGAUUGAUUUAGCACGAGAGUAAUGCAGGGGAGCAGAUGAGCCAUGGGAAUGGUGAGCUCUGCUUUGCUGAGAUUCAUAAAUCCAAAAGCCAUGCUGAGGUGAAGAGCUUUCAGAGGAGCAGCACCUAAUGCCUGAGAAUCAUUGGAUGUCUGAAGUCUUAAACAAGUUGGAAACUCAUCUUUCACAGGGAUAUGGAAAAUAAUCUUGCUGGGAGGAAGAGAGCUCAAGGGAGAAUAUAGAUGUCCUGUUAAUCAGGACAUAAAAAAGAAAGGAGAAGCUGUGAUGUGACAGUGACUGGUGGGAGAAAAUCUGGCAAACAGCAGAGAGAAGAUUGGGAGAUGUGACAAUUUGGGAAAUGUAUGUAUAAUUUAUAA